GUGGGGAAUUUUGGACAAUGGGCGAAAGCCUGAUCCAGCAAUGCCGCGUGUGUGAAGAAGGCCUUCGGGUUGUAAAGCACUUUUGUCCGGAAAGAAAUGGCUCUGGUUAAUACCUGGGGUCGAUGACGGUACCGGAAGAAUAAGGACCGGCUAACUACGUGCCAGCAGCCGCGGUAAUACGUAGGGUCCAAGCGUUAAUCGGAAUUACUGGGCGUAAAGCGUGCGCAGGCGGUUGUGCAAGACCGAUGUGAAAUCCCGAGCUUAACUUGGGAAUUGCAGUGGUGACUGCACGGCUAGAGUGUGUCAGAGGGGGGUAGAAUUCCACGUGUAGCAGUGAAAUGCGUAGAGAUGUGGAGGAAUACCGAUGGCGAAGGCAGCCCCCUGGGAUAACACUGACGCUCAUGCACGAAAGCGUGGGGAGCAAACAGGAUUAGAAACCCGUGUAGUCC
Molecule: ribosomal RNA, 449 nt
Filed under: uncultured bacterium
Lineage: Bacteria
Description: bacterial SSU rRNA
Rfam family: Bacterial small subunit ribosomal RNA
Source: RNAcentral